GACGAACGCUGGCGGCGUGCCUAAUACAUGCAAGUCGAACGAACCGCGACUAAGUGCUUGCACUAAGUCAAGGUGAGUGGCGAACGGGUGAGUAACACGUGGGUAACCUACCUCAUAGUUGGGGAUAACAGUCGGAAACGACUGCUAAUACCGCAUAGCACAUAGGAUCACAUGAUCCAGUGAGGAAAGGUGGCGCAAGCUAUCGCUAAGAGAUGGACCCGCGGUGCAUUAGCUAGUUGGUAGGGUAAAUGCCUACCAAGGCGAUGAUGCAUAGCCGACCUGAGAGGGUGAUCGGCCACAUUGGGAGUGAGACACGGCCCAAACUCCUACGGGAGGCAGCAGUAGGGAAUCUUCCGCAAUGGACGCAAGUCUGACGGAGCAACGCCGCGUGAGUGAAGAAGGUCUUCGGAUCGUAAAGCUCUGUUGUUAGAGAAGAACAGCGCAUAGAGUAACUGCUAUGCGUGUGACGGUAACUAACCAGAAAGCCACGGCUAACUACGUG
This 502-nucleotide ribosomal RNA is filed under the name uncultured bacterium. RNAcentral describes it as "partial 16S ribosomal RNA". It matches the Rfam family "Bacterial small subunit ribosomal RNA", at positions 28 to 507 of the family's 1533-position model. The record is from RNAcentral.